UGAACGCUGGCGGCGUGCCUAAUACAUGCAAGUCGAACGGACCUCUUCGGAGGUUAGUGGCGAACGGGUGAGUAACGCGUUGGUGACCUGCCCCAAAGUGAGGGAUAACAGCUCGAAAGGGUUGCUAAUACCGCAUAAGGUUAUGCUGGUUAGAGAGGUAUAACUAAAGGAGAAAUUCGCUUUGGGAGGGGCCUGCGUCCCAUCAGCUAGUUGGUAGGGUAAAAGCCUACCAAGGCGAUGACGGGUAGGGGACCUGAGAGGGUGACCCCCCACAAUGGAACUGAAACACGGUCCAUACACCUACGGGUGGCAGCAGUAGGGAAUAUUGCAUAAUGGGCGAAAGCCUGAUGCAGCAACGCCGCGUGUGCGAUGAAGGCCCUCGGGUCGUAAAGCACUUUUACAGGGGAAGAGGAAGGACGGUACCCUGUGAAUAAGCCUCGGCUAACUACGU
Molecule: ribosomal RNA, 451 nt
Filed under: uncultured bacterium
Lineage: Bacteria
Description: bacterial SSU rRNA
Rfam family: Bacterial small subunit ribosomal RNA
Source: RNAcentral